This 373-nucleotide unclassified non-coding RNA is filed under the name soil metagenome. Its description in RNAcentral is "partial contains 5.8S ribosomal RNA, internal transcribed spacer 2, and large subunit ribosomal RNA". The stretch from base 1 to 120 matches the Rfam family "5.8S ribosomal RNA", at positions 35 to 154 of the family's 154-position model. The record is from RNAcentral.
GAUGAAGAACGUAGCGAAAUGCGAUAAGUAAUGUGAAUUGCAGAAUUCAGUGAAUCAUCGAGUCUUUGAACGCACAUUGCGCCCGCCAGUAUUCUGGCGGGCAUGCCUGUUCGAGCGUCAUUUCAACCCUCAAGUCCCCUGUGGACUCGGUGUUGGGGACCGGCGAGACAGCCGCGGAUCUUCUUCCGCAGCGAGUCGCCGCCCCCCAAAUGACUUGGCGGCCUCGUCGCGGCCCUCCUCUGCGUAGUAUAGCACACCUCGCAACAGGAGCCCGGCGAAUGGCCACUGCCGUAAAACCCCCCAACUUUUUCAGAGUUGACCUCGAAUCAGGUAGGAAUACCCGCUGAACUUAAGCAUAUCAAUAAGCGGAGGA